UUAACGCGAAGAACCUUACCAGGUCUUGACAUACUAUGCAAAUCUAAGAGAUUAGACGUUCCCUUCGGGGACAUGGAUACAGGUGGUGCAUGGUUGUCGUCAGCUCGUGUCGUGAGAUGUUGGGUUAAGUCCCGCAACGAGCGCAACCCUUAUUAUCAGUUGCCAGCAUUAAGUUGGGCACUCUGGUGAGACUGCCGGUGACAAACCGGAGGAAGGUGGGGAUGACGUCAAAUCAUCAUGCCCCUUAUGACCUGGGCUACACACGUGCUACAAUGGAUGGUACAACGAGUUGCGAACUCGCGAGAGUAAGCUAAUCUCUUAAAGCCAUUCUCAGUUCGGAUUGUAGGCUGCAACUCGCCUACAUGAAGUCGGAAUCGCUAGUAAUCGCGGAUCAGCAUGCCGCGGUGAAUACGUUCCCGGGUCUUGUACACACCGAA
Molecule: ribosomal RNA, 437 nt
Filed under: uncultured Lactobacillus sp.
Lineage: Bacteria; Bacillati; Bacillota; Bacilli; Lactobacillales; Lactobacillaceae
Description: bacterial SSU rRNA
Rfam family: Bacterial small subunit ribosomal RNA
Source: RNAcentral